UGCAGUGCCAACACCUUAGGGCCAUCC
RNAcentral lists this non-coding RNA (27 nucleotides) under Homo sapiens (human). Lineage: Eukaryota; Metazoa; Chordata; Mammalia; Primates; Hominidae. The record is from RNAcentral.